UACGUAGGGGGCGAGCGUUGUCCGGAUUUACUGGGCGUAAAGGGCGUGCAGGCGGUCUGUUAAGUCUAGGGUGAAAGCUCCCGGCUCAACUGGGAGAGGUCCUUGGAUACUGGCGGACUUGAGGGAGGCAGAGGAGAAUGGAAUUCCCGGUGUAGUGGUGAUAUGCGUAGAUAUCGGGAGGAACACCAGUGGCGAAGGCGGUUCUCUGGGCCUUACCUGACGCUGAGACGCGAAAGCGUGGGGAGCGAACCGG
Molecule: ribosomal RNA, 253 nt
Filed under: uncultured bacterium
Lineage: Bacteria
Description: partial 16S ribosomal RNA
Rfam family: Bacterial small subunit ribosomal RNA
Source: RNAcentral